CCUACGGGUGGCAGCAGUGAGGAAUAUUGGUCAAUGGACGAGAGUCUGAACCAGCCAAGUAGCGUGAAGGAUGACUGCCCUAUGGGUUGUAAACUUCUUUUAUAAAGGAAUAAAACGAGGCACGUGUGCCUUUUUGCAUGUACUUUAUGAAUAAGGAUCGGCUAACUCCGUGCCAGCAGCCGCGGUAAUACGGAGGAUCCGAGCGUUAUCCGGAUUUAUUGGGUUUAAAGGGAGCGUAGAUGGGUUGUUAAGUCAGUUGUGAAAGUUUGCGGCUCAACCGUAAAAUUGCAAUUGAUACUGGCAGUCGUGAGUACAGUUGAGGUAGGCGGAAUUCGUGGUGUAGCGGUGAAAUGCUUAGAUAUCACGAAGAACCCCGAUUGCGAAGGCAGCUUACUAAAAUGUGACUGACAUUGAUGCUCGAAAGUGUGGGUAUCAAACAGGAUUAGAUACCCGAGUAGUC
This 460-nucleotide ribosomal RNA is filed under the name uncultured bacterium. RNAcentral describes it as "partial 16S ribosomal RNA". It matches the Rfam family "Bacterial small subunit ribosomal RNA", at positions 338 to 795 of the family's 1533-position model. The record is from RNAcentral.